UGCGCAGGCGGGCUUUUAAGCCAGACGUGAAAUCCCCGGGCUUAACCUGGGAAUGGCGUUUGGGACUGGGAGUCUGGAGUGCGGCAGAGGAGACUGGAAUUCCUGGUGUAGCAGUGAAAUGCGUAGAUAUCAGGAGGAACACCGAUGGCGAAGGCAGGUCUCUGGGCUGACACUGACGCUCAUGCACAAAGGCUGGGAGCAAACA
RNAcentral lists this ribosomal RNA (205 nucleotides) under uncultured bacterium. RNAcentral's name for it is "partial 16S ribosomal RNA". It matches the Rfam family "Bacterial small subunit ribosomal RNA", at positions 568 to 774 of the family's 1533-position model. The record is from RNAcentral.